Molecule: ribosomal RNA, 432 nt
Filed under: uncultured bacterium
Lineage: Bacteria
Description: partial 16S ribosomal RNA
Rfam family: Bacterial small subunit ribosomal RNA
Source: RNAcentral
AACGAACGCUGGCGGCAUGCCUAACACAUGCAAGUCGAACGAGACCUUCGGGUCUAGUGGCGCACGGGUGCGUAACGCGUGGGAACCUGCCCUUAGGUUCGGAAUAACUCCCCGAAAGGGGUGCUAAUACCGGAUAAUGUCUUCGGACCAAAGAUUUAUCGCCUUUGGAUGGGCCCGCGUUGGAUUAGCUAGUUGGUAGGGUAAAAGCCUACCAAGGCGACGAUCCAUAGCUGGUCUGAGAGGAUGAUCAGCCACACUGGGACUGAGACACGGCCCAGACUGCUACGGGAGGCAGCAGUGGGGAAUAUUGGACAAUGGGCGAAAGCCUGAUCCAGCAAUGCCGCGUGAGUGAUGAAGGCCUUAGGGUUGUAAAGCUCUUUUACCCGAGAUGAUAAUGACAGUACCGGGAGAAUAAGCUCCGGCUAACUCCGU